This 34626-nucleotide long non-coding RNA is filed under the name Medicago truncatula (barrel medic). RNAcentral describes it as "long non-coding RNA (MTRU_LNC001999)". The stretch from base 26025 to 26188 matches the Rfam family "MIR2606 microRNA precursor family". The record is from RNAcentral. Lineage: Eukaryota; Viridiplantae; Streptophyta; Magnoliopsida; Fabales; Fabaceae.
UGAACCCCGACCUUACAUAUUUUAUGCAUUAUUUCAACCAACUAAGCUAAGUUCACGAGGACAAUUCACUUUUGAGUUAAACAUAUAUAAAAUAUUCCAAACAAAAAAAUCAAGUUAUUUAUUCCUUUUUUUUUUUUAGCAAAACUUAUUUAUUCCUUAUAAAAAAAAAGCUUAAUACAUCAUUUGGUCCCUUAACUUAUUUUCAGUUUUCAAUUUGGUCAUCUAACUAUAAAGUGUCUCAAUUUGGUCCCAUAAAUCUUCUUCCGUUUACCAUUUUGGUCACGUCCGUGUGUUUUUUAAUAUCUAAUAUUUUUAAUAUGUUUUCGACCAUUCGAUUGCAGGUCUAUUAUGUACCACCCUGAACCACCAACACCUAAUUUUUUCCCUUUCUUUAUCUUCUUCCUUCCACCACUUCUUCAUAUUUUUUUUUUGAACAACAAAAUUUUAUUAAAAGGUUACCAUGGCACCAUGGCUGAAAACGCCUCAUAAUACAACCAAAAUCCAGAAAUUACACAAUGGCCUGCCCAAGCAAAAACCAAAACUCCCAACAGCAUGACCUUAGAAAUACGUCUUCCCCUAAGCCCAGUGGCGGAGCUAGAAAAAAAGUCUAGGGUGGACCAUAAAUAGUGAUGGAGCUUAAUUUUCUUACAAGUACAUUUUAUCAUUGGUUAGUUCCAAUGACUACAAAUUUGUUAUUUGUUGAAUAUAAUUCAAACCGGUAUUUUAAAAUCUGAACCGUUUAUCAACCUUAAUAAAGUACAAGAUAAUUGAUCGAACAACUAGGUCAUUGAACCUAACGACUGAAUUAAAUGACUCGACUUCAAUAAACAGAUGUAUAGGUAUUAAAUCGAAUUGAAUCAAACGAUCGAGUAAAAAAAAUUAAAAUAAAACUCAUGACAUAUAUAUUAAUGUAAAAAAGAUCAUUACAUAAGAAAAUAUACUUAUAAUCAAGUACAAUAAUGAAAUAUAUUUUAAUUUAAUAAAGAAUAUAGUAUUUUUUUUACCUUAUUUUUUAGGAUGUAUAUUUUUUUACCUAAAAAAUAAUGUUUAUACAAUUAAAUAUUUUUAUGAUAUCAUGUUUUUUAAGGAUAUUUUAACAUUUAUGUUAUAUGUUAUGCAUUAUAAAAGAUGGUUGAGGUCCUCUUUUAUAUAAAAAAUAUGUUAUGUGUUUUAAAAGAGAAUUUUUUUGACAAAAAAAGAGUUGAAGUUCCCUUUGUUUAAAAAAAAUAAAAUAAAAGAGUAAAGAGACAAUUGUACCCAAAAAUAAGAGUAAGGAAGGAAAAGAUUAUUUUAAAUUGAAUAAAGGAGUUAUGUUUUAUUAAAGAAAGAAAGGAUUAAGUAAGAAAAAAAAAAAGGAUUAUUUUAACAAUUUUGAAUGCUUUUUUUUUUUUUUUUUUUUUAUACAAAAGAAAAUAAAAGAGUAAUGAAAAUGGCUUUGAUAAGAGUUGAACCUAGCACAUAAGACUUGGCAAAAAGACUCAUAACCACUACAACAUGCUACACAAUCAUCAUAUAAUUACAAAAACAUAAUAUAUAUAAUAAGAAGAAAAAAAUUGGGGGUGGGCCAUGGCCCACCUUGGCCCAUGAGGGGCUCCGCCUCUGCCUAAGCCACCAAAACAAAACAAAAACAUGACUAAAAGCGCCCAGCAAUGACAAGGGAAGAACAUAAAACAUAAUUGGUUAAAUCCCUCCAAGACCAAAGGUGUUAACUGCUAAGGCUUUGUAAAAAAAAACACCAUUUAUUCAUAUUCAUAUGAAAUCCAUCAAUAUUCAUACAAUAUACCUUAAAAAAUUCCAGAAAAAUCAAAUAUUUAACCAACACAUAAAAUUCAGAUUCAUCAAUUCAUCCCUUCAACAUCAUGAAUUCCUGGCUUCCACGAAUUCAACAUCAAUUAGAACCCGAAUUUGAACAAGAGAGAAUAUAAUUUGAAGGAUCUAAAAUUAGUUUCUUCUUAAAUUACACCACAAUUCUUAUAAUUUGAAGGUUCUGGAAUUGAGUUUGGGUUAGAAUUUUGGGAAUUAGGGCUUGAAUUAUGGGUUCUGUCUAUUGUCCCAUUGUGUUUCCUUGGAACUAAAUUUCAUGGGUAUUCCACAAUGGAGAGGACCAAAAUGGUAAACGGAAGAAGAUUUAUGGACCAAAUUGAGACACUUUAUAGUUAGGGAUUAAAUUGAAAACUAAAAUUAAGUUAAGAGACCAAAUGAUGUAUUAAGCCAAAAAAAAAUAACUUAAGUUAUUUAUGCAACAUAUAUAUUCAGAUUCAAUAUUAAAAUCCAACUUUUUGACAAGAUAAGUUAAACGAUAUUAAAUCUAAAACCUUGUUCAAUCUCAUAUAUUAGAGAUGUUUACACAUAACUUUACUCUGGAAUUUUCUUCAAUUUUUUUUUUUUUUUUGACUGAUACGCACGAAAUGUUUCUAGCAACCUUGAAACACAAGUAACUUAACGCAGUCAUUCCAAUUCAUGAUCUUAACUUGGAGUAACUUCUAAUAUUAUUUGAUCAAUAAAUUUGUGGUUGAACCCGAGGAGCUAUUUUUAAGCACUGCUUUUAUUUUCCUUUUGAUUCAAUUGAAGAAUGAAUUCAUUUAAGGAAGUAAUGAUGCUGCUUUAUAUAUCAUAGAACUUGUUGAGAUUUAGAUAAAGGUAAAAAUGAUUUAACAAUAUGUUGUCAUAACUUUCUCAUUAAGGGAACAUUUUGUUUCUGUAGGAAUGAUUGAUACAUGAAGAAACAAAAUGAAAAAAUAUUUGUAACAGAAAAAAAUAAAACUGCCUUCCGUGCAAAUUAGCCUAAUCUAAUCUAUCUUAAUCUCCAUUAGCUUGAUUUACAGUUCACUCAAACGAGAUGUGAGGUUUUGGAAUUCAUCCUCGCUGCAAGGAAUUGUGAGACCACCCAUAGGAUGAUCAUAUCCAAAUUCUUCUUCUGCUUGAUUUAGUAAUUCUUGAAACGAUGGUUGGUUCAAGUAUGAUACUGGAAUCACGAACCGUCUCAUUCUAUCUCCAACAUAGACUGCGAGAUAGCCUUUUGGGACUUCAAGUCCCUUGGUAGAUUCUUGUGUUUUGGAAAAUGAUGGCAUUCUAAUAAGCUUUGCUAUGCGGAAACCCAUGGUCUUUUUAAUGGUUAGAGGAUUGGUUGGGAAAAGAAAAUUUGAAUUAUGAUAAUUUAGGAUGUAAAAGAUUUGUGUUGCUUGAGAGUCCAAUGAAAUAGUGUAUAUAUAGUUGCUAGCAUAUACAAACCAAUUAAUCAAUGAGCUGUGAUAUGGCCCAGUGAGUGACAUGGGAUCACAUGGAAUUGUUUUCAAGGAUUAGGAAGAUAAAUGGAAGAAAAUGCACAUACCCUACUUUGAAAAAUAAUGUCCAACAUAUAACCCACUUAAAAUUUGAGACAAUGCAAUGGUGAAUGGAACCUGAUGUUUUUUCUUGCAUUUUGGGUGGGUAUAGCUAAUCCAAUGGUAGACAUGCUUUAGACAUCUCACAUCUUAGAUUUAUGUGCAACUUGUUAGGCUUGUGAUGGAACGGUGUGAGGAGGAAAGAAGCGAACCGAUAUUGAACACAAGAACUUGAGCUACUAUGAACCAAAUUUUUUAUUUUUGUAAGACCAACUCCAUGAUAUUUGCAUACCAGGACAGAACUUUGAGGUCCUUGCAUUCCUAAUUAAGUAUCAAGGUCAAUUAAACUUUCUAUUCCAUGAAUAGGUCUGUUUUAUGGUAGGGUAGACCUCUAAGACAAUACCAUGUGAUCUUAUAUAUGCUCUUGUCUCCUUGUAGAUUCCAUGACUCCAUCCUGAUCCUAUACUACAGUAUAAACCUCCACCAAUCAUUCAAGUAGCCAAUGGUUUCUCAAUAUUCUUUUAUCUAUAUAUAUUCAUGGCUGCAAGCAUUUAGGACAAACACAAAUCAUUCACAUCCUAAACCAUUUUAAUUUCAAAAACUUGCUUCUUGCUUACAAGUCUUCCUACAACCAUUUGAAUUUAAGUUCUAACACAUACAAAAAUGGGUUUUCGUUUCUCUGGUAUCAUCAGAAGGGCAUCAUUUUCUGCAAACCGAGCAGUUUCAAAAGCUGUUGACAUGCCAAAGGGAUAUAUUGCCGUGUAUGUUGGAGAGAAACGGUUUGUGAUCCCAAUAUCAUACUUGAACCAACCAUUAUUUCAAGACUUAUUGAGUCAAGCUGAAGAAGAGUUUGGAUAUGAUCAUCCAAUGGGUGGCCUCACCAUUCCUUGCACGGAAGAUGUCUUUCAACAUAUAACAUCUCGCUCGAAUGGGCUAUGAAUCUGACACCAAAAGAAACUGACAUAGUUUAGUAGAGACAUUUUUUUGUAAACUAGGCAUCUAAUGAAAUUGUAAAGAUGGGAAAAAGUGACUAUUAGAUUGACAAAUUUAUGGAAUAUAAAUAUUUUUUGUUAUAAUGAAAACGAAUUCGACUAUUCAAGUAACUCUUCUAUGUUUUUGGUUUAUUGCACUUAGAAACUUAAGAAAUAGGACUAUAUGAGUAAUAUUGCUUGCUAUAAUUAAAAAAUGACUUGGUAUUCUGAAGGAAAAAAAAUCAAAGCAGGAAUAGAAGUGGAACACAUGGUAGAGCAAAAAUAUUUUUCCUAGGAAAAAAGGUGAAAAAUAAAGUUACCAAAAAUUAAUUCCUUUUUAAACUACAUAAUAUAUAUACAUGAAAUUAAAAUUGUGGUGCAAAAGCCUUAAUCGUGUAUGAGGCAGCUUCCUUUCAUAAGCAAGUGAACAAGAACAAUGACAGUAACAAGGUCAAUUAUUCUGCUAAUAUAACGGGCCUCAUUCUAUGGUUCCUGUUAGGAUAUCCUUAUCUUAAGAAUUGAAUGGUUAUUACUGAGUAGUUUAUAUGAGUGAUAACAGCUGAAGAACCAUCACAUGGUGUUGUCUUAUAGAUUUUCACAAUAGUCACAAUAGAUUUUAGAAUAAUGACAGAUGAGUUUGUAACGUAGUUAUUGCUCGAAUAAUGGCCAUAUAUAUAAGUUUAGGUGAGUUGGGUCCUGAGGAUCACUAAGGUCAGGUCUCAAAGACCAGAAAACGCUGACAAAUAUAUUUAUAUAUUACUCACCAACGAGGUCUUUGCAACGCCAGAAGGAGUCGAUCACAUGUCAUUGUGGGGAAUGUGUCAACUUCUUACCAAGUGGACCAACCUCUUGACACUCAACAUUUGAAAAUUAAUAUUUUAAAAAAUAAAACAACAAACAAAUAAAUAAAAGAAAGAACCAAAAUUAUUAUUCUAGUAACCUUGAAACACAAGUAAUUUACUGCGGCCUUUCCAAUACAGUCAAGAACAGAACAGUUGCAUAUUAUGAUCUUAAAUUCAUGAUGUGAACUUGAAGUGUCUUUUGGUAAUGUUUGAUCAAUAAAUUUGUGGUUGAACUCAAGGAGAUAUAUUUAAGAAAUAAAUUUAUUUUCUUUUUGAUUCUGGAAUGAAUUCAUAUAACAAAUUAAUGAUUCUGCUGUAUAUCAUAGAAUUUGCUGAAGUUUAGUAAAAGCCAAAAAAUAUGACUUUACAAUAUUUUGUCAUAACAUUCUCAUUAAGCUAACAUUUUGUUUCUGUAGGAAUGAUUAAUACAUGGCAGAAACAAAAUGAAAAAAAUAUUCAUAACAGAAAAAAAUUGCAUUCUGUGCAAAUUAGCCUCAACUAAUCUAUCUAAAGCUCCGUUAGCAUAAUAUCUACAGCUCAAUUCAUGCGAGAAGUGAGGUUUUGGAAUUCAUCUUCACUGCACGGAAUUGUAAGACCACCCAUUGGAUGAUCAUAUCCAAAUUCUUCUUCUGAUUGAUUUAGUAAUUCUUGAAAUGAGGGUUGGUUCAAGUAUGAUACAGGAAUCACAAACCGUCUCAUUUUAUCUCCAACGUAGACUGCAAGAUAGCCUUUUGGCACUUCAAAUCCCUUGCUAGAUGCUUGUGUUGACGAAAAUGAUGGCUUUCUGAUAAGCUUUGCUAUGCGGAAACCCAUUGUUUUUUUUAUGGUUAGAGGAUUUGGAUGAGAAAGAUUUAUUUGAAUUAUGAUAAUUUAGGAUGCAAAAGACUUGUGUUGCUUGAGAACACAAUGAAUAGGUGUAUAUAUAGUUGCCAAGGGACUCUACAAAAUCAAUCAGCCAAUGGAAGCAUUUUGAUGAGCUGUGAUAGGGCCUAGUGAGGGACAAGGGAUCACAUGGUAUUGUCCUAUAGAAGUCAUUUUCAAACUAUUAGAUGAAGCUAAAUGGAAGAACAUGCACAUACCCUACUCUGUAACACAACUAAGGAAAAAUUAAAGACAGUGGAUUGGUGAAAGAAACUUGAUGUUUGUUGCUAUAGCUAAUCCAAUAUGUUUGUUCCCACAUCUUUCUUCUAAAUGACAAGGCAACUAAUAUACAUAUACCUGCUAAAUACAUCACAUAUAUGUGCAACUUGUAAAGCUUGAGUAGGACCUGAUUUAUAGCUCAGAAACAGUGUGAGGAGGAAAAAGAGAACCAAUUUUGAACACAAGAUCAUGGGCCUCUAUGAACCACAUUUUAUAUUAUUACAAGACAAGCUUCAUGAUAUUUGCAUACCAGGACAGAAGUUUGCGGUCCUUGCCUUCUUAAUUAAGUAUCAAGGUCAAUUAAACUUUCUAGUGAGGUGAUAUGUUGGUGUAUUAUCUGUCAUGACAUUUGGUCUUUGUGAAAGUCUGAAAGACUUCCAAGACAAUACCAUGUGAUCUUAUAUAUCCUCUUGUCUCUUUGUAUAUUCUUUGUCCCCAACCUAAUCCUAUACUAUAGGACUAUAGGAUACACCUUCACCAAUCAUUCAAGUAGCCAACUGUUUCUCAAUAUGAAUUCUUUCAUCUAUUUAUAUUCAAGGCUACAAGCAUUUAGGACCAACACAAAACAUUCACAUCCUAAAGCAUUCAGUUUUCAAAAACUUGUUAUUGCUACAAUUUAUCUUAUUUUAAAACAAUUUCUUCUCAAGUUUUAACACAUACAACAAUGGGUUUUCGUGUCCCUAGUAUCAUCAGAAAGUCAUCAUUUUCUGCAAGCCGAGUAAUUUCAAAAGUUGUGGAUGUGCCAAAGGGAUAUCUUGCAGUGUAUGUUGGAAAACAAAAGCGAUUUGUGAUCCCCAUAUCAUACUUGAACCAACCAUCGUUUCAAGACUUGUUGAGUCAAGCUGAGGAAGAGUUUGGAUAUGAUCAUUCCAUGGGUGGCCUCACCAUUCCUUGCACAGAAGAUGUCUUUCAACACAUAACAUCUCGCUUGAACGGAAUAUGAAUCUAACACAAAAAAGAGACUGACAUAGUUUAGUAGACUAGAGACAUUUUUGUAAACUAGGCCUGUUAUCAAAUUGUAAAGAUGGGAAAAAAGACCAUUAGAUUGAAAUUCUUUAUAUAGCGUAUAUAUUAUUUUGUUUAGUGAAAACGAAUUCGACUACUCAAGCAGCUCCUCUACUUUUUUGGUUUAUUGCACUUCAGAACUUACAAAAUUCGAUUAUAUGAGUAAUUCUGCUUGCUAUAAGACAAAAAAUGAAUUGGCAUUCUGAAAAAUUUCAAAGCAGGAAUUGAGCACACACAUAUUCUUGGCAAAGGGCAGAUCAAAUUUAUUUUUCUUAAGACAAAAGGUGAAAUCUAAAUUUACCAUUUUUUUUUACUACAUAAUAUAGACAUGAAAUUAAAAUUUUGGAGUGCCAAAGCUUUAAUCUUACAUGAAGUACAUUCCUUUCAUAAACAAGUACACAAUACCAAUUCAUCAACAAGGGAAAUUAUUUCACUGAAUGACAUAGGCCUCAUUAUAUGGUUCCUGUUAGGAUAUCCUUAUCUAAAGAAUUGAAUGGUUAGUACUUACUUAGUGAGAGACAACAGCUCAAGAACCACCACAUGGUGCUGUCUUAUGACUACAAGUUUUUCUUGAAGUGUCACCUACGUAUUCAUUGCUGAAAUAACGACCUUGUUUUUUCUUCAAGACAUCUCAUAUUUUCACUUUUUUGUCCACCUUUCUUUGAUCUCUAUAUUGAUUAGUACUAAUAAAUUUUGUAUCGCUAACAUGGCGUUAUGACAGCUAAAGGAAAUCUCUUUAAUUGUUGGAACAUUAUUUGCACAUAACUAUUAGUCAUUUUGGUCUGAUAGAAGUUUAAAUUCAAUAUUGGUUGCAUGUUAUAAUGUCUUCUGCAGUCAAAAUCAAUGGCUUUCUUUAUCAUAACAGCUUGCAGGACUAGUACUUUGUGAAUAGCACGGAAAGUCCUUUUGAUUGUAAUAUAUGUUGUGAAUUCGGUCAAUUCCAAACUUCACAUCAAUAAAAUUUAGAUUCGUGGCAACCAACAACCAAAAAUUGAUUAACCACAAGCAACAACAACAAGUGCAUGGCAAAACCACAAUCCAACCAAAGAAUAAACAAGAUAAAGAGAGUAAAGACAAGAUAACAACACCAAAGAUUGUUGACUCAGUUCGGUCCAACUUGACCUAAUCUGGGGGAGAGAUUGAUCUCUCCAAUCCACUAUCAAUGAGUUUUUACAAAGAGAUACAAAUGGGUUACAAGAAAUUAGCUUCAACAAGCUCACAAAGAACAACCCUAAUUUCUACACAUUUUACCAAUCUCACCAAUGAACAAGACACUCAUGAUUUUCACUCUCCCUGUUUACAAUUGUUUCAAAACUCAAGAAUCUAACCCCCAAAAGAGAACCAACCCUUAGUCUUUGAUUUCACUAAGGAUCUUCUUUUUUGGUUUUACAAGACUCACCCAAAAAGACUCUCCACUCAUGUGUUUCCCAACCCCAUGAAUCUUCCCCAAAAGACACCAACCCCUUUCCCAAGAGCCCCUUCUUUUGGUUCUCCAAGAUUCACAUCUUAAAGCUUUGAACCUCACCCAAAGACCCUCAACCUUUAGUAUCUAAAACCCUAAAAGUUCCCUCCUUUGGUUUUCAUGAGAUUCACCAAGCUUACCCAACAAAUGGGUCAUGGAGUGCUUAUAUAGUGUUUAGAUCCGGACAAAAUCGUGUCACGAUUUCCCAAAUCGUGACACGGUUGAUGCGUACGACCCAAGGUACGACCAACCUUAUCCUGAAACCGUGCCGAACAAGUUGAAAAUCGUGUCACGUUUUCCCAAAAUCGUGUCACGAUUGAACACAUCAAGGAACCAUGCUCACUACCUGCCAAAUCGUGACACGGUACACAAAUCAUGUCACGAUCCUGAAUUUUGCUAAAAAUCAUUUUUGAGGCACUUUGCAACAGUAUAGUCUUCAUCAAUACCGCACUUUUUCCAACUGCACAAGCACUACCAUGCAACAUAUAAUUAAAUUGCAAACUGGUAAGAAAUUGUUGUAAGCUGGGAAUUUCCUAUAAACAACCACAUGCCUUGGUAGUUGGUUAGGCCCAUUCACUUAAUUCUCAGGUUUGUAACCUGUCCUCCUUGAAUCUAGUAAAUGUAAAUCUUAAACCAGUCAACUUCUCCUAUGAAGAUUUGUUGCCCUUGAUAUCUAAAGGGACAUGAAAAACUAUGGAAGAGUUUUACAUAUUAAGCUUUACAUGAAGAGAUAUAAUUGAUUGACAAUGUAAAACUUUUAUACGUUCUAAGUGCAUGUUUUGUCUUGUUCACCCCUUCGAACAUUUCUGUCAAGUGCCAAUAGUCAACACACAAUGCUGCUAUAUUAAUUCAUGACAUCAUGGUCACAUUAUAAUUUCAUUCAGGUUGCACUAAGAUGGUGUACUAACAUGGACCGAGAUUAAAAGCUUCAACAAAGAGAGGAUGCAAUAAAAUCUUGAUAUAUUUGAUUUUGAGCUGAGGAUAUGAUUCCCUUUGAUAUAAAAGGAACAUGGGAAGCUACGGAAGAUUGUUAUAGAUUGGUGCCAGCAGCUUUGGCAUAAAAAAACUCUCCAUAGUCUUACAAGAUGCAAUAAUCUCUCCUGCAGUUAAUCAGGUAGAAUAAGAAUUUAACACCAGUUGAUUUGGUUCAUCCUGACGGGUUAAACAGGGCGGAUCAAGAAUUUAACACUAGUUGAGUUGAUUUGAUCAUGUCUUGUUUUUUUGGCGGGUUAAACGGCACGGAUCAACUUAGUAGUGGAACACAGAACUUCAACUCGUCUCGCUGGAAAUUGCGGAUUCAACGGGAUGGCACAGCAGACUUGGCCCGAUUUUUCACUCAUACUUGAGUGUUUUCUCUUAGUGUUUUAUCAAUAAAUUUACGCAAUAAACUUAUCUUUUUAAUUUUGGAAUUAAUUCAUAUAAUUGAACGGAUUGUGAUACUUUAAUACUGUUCUAUAUAUUAGAAUUUCUUGAGAUCUGGAAAAAACUAAAAAUAAUUGAAGAGUUGUGAUAACAUUAUCAUUGAGGGAACAUUUUGUUUCCGUAGGAAUGAUUGAUACAUGGAAGAAACAAAAUGAAAAAAAAUAUUAAUAACAGAAAAAAUUGUCAUCUGAGCAAAUUAGCCUCAACUAAUCUAUCUUAAUCUGUAUCCAAAAAAAAUAAAAAUCUAUCUUAAUCUCCAUUAGCAUGAUUUACAAAUCACUUAAGCGAGAAGUGAGUUGUAAGAAAGCAUCUUCACCGCAAGGAAUUGUAAGACCACCCAUUGGAUGAUCAUAUCCAAAUUCUUCUUCUGAUUGAUUUAGUAAUUCUUGAAACGAUGGCUGGCUCAAAUAUGAUACUGGAAUCACGAACCGCCUCAUUCUAUCUCCAACAUAGACUGCGAGAUAGCCUUUUGGGACUUCAAGUCCCUUGGCAGUCUCUUGUGUUUUGGAAAAUGAUGGCAUUCUGAUAAGCUUUGCUAUGCGGAAACCCAUUGUUUUUAUUAUGUAUGGCUCCUCACAAAAAGAUACUGAUGAUGGCAGAGGAUUGGAUGAGAAAGAAAUAUUUGAAUUCUUAUAAUUCAGAAUGCAAAAGAUUUAUGUUGAUUUGAGAAUCCAAGGAAUAAUGUAUAUAUAGUUUCUAAGGGCCUCUACAAACCAAUUAAUCAGUGAAUGUAAUUUGGUGAGCUGUGAUAGGGUCAAGUGAAGGACAAGGGAUCACAUGGUAUUGUCCUAUACAUAUUUUUUCAAGGAUUAGGAAGCUUAAUGGAAGAGCAUGCACAUACCCCACAUUGUGAGAUAAUGGCCAACAAAUAACCCUACUUGAAGUUUGAGACAAUGCAAUGGUGAAAGAAACCUGAUGUUUUUUCUUGCAUUUGGGUAUAGAUAAUCCAAUUGUAGACAUGCUUUAGACAUCUCACAUGUUUCUUCUAAUUGACAUUGCAGCAAAUAUACAUCUACCAACUGAAUAUAUAUCAUAUUUAUGUGAAACUUAUAAGGUUGUGUAGGACCUGAUUGAUAGCUUAAAAACAAAGACUGUGAGGAGGAAAAAAGAAAAUCGAUAUUGAACACAAGAUCAUGAUAUUUGCUUACCAGAACAGAACUUCGCGGUCCCUGCCUUCUUAAUUAAGUAUCAAGGUCAAUUAAACUUUCUAGUGGGGUGAUGUGUUGGUGUAUUAUCUGUUAUGACAUUUAGUCUUUGUGAAAUACUUCUAAGACAACACCAUGUGAUCUUAUAUAUGCUCUUGCCUCCUUGUAGAUUCUUUGACCCUAACCUAAAUUUUAAUUCUAUACUAUAGGAUACCCCUCCUUCACCAAUCAUUCAAGUAGGCAACUGUUUCUCAAAAUUAGUUCUUACAUCUAUAUAUAUUCAAGGCUACAAGCAUUUAGGACCAACACAAAACAUUCACAUCCUAAAGCAUUCAGAUUUCAAAAACUUGGUCUUUGCUUAAAAGUUUAUUUUAUUUUUAAACCAUUUCUUCUAAAGUUUUAACACAUACAACAAUGGGUUUUCGUUUCCCUGGUAUCAUCAGAAAGGCAUCAUUUUCUGCAAACCGAUCAGCUUCAAAAUCUGUGGACGUGCCAAAGGGAUAUCUUGCAGUAUAUGUUGGAGAGAAACAGACGCGGUAUUUAAUCCCCGUAUCAUACUUGAGCCAACCUUCAUUUCAAGGCUUGCUGAGUCAAGUUGAGGAAGAGUUUGGAUAUGAUCAUCCCAUGGGUGGCCUCACCAUUCCUUGCACGGAAGAUGUCUUUCAACAUAUAACUUCUUGCUUCAAUGGGCUAUGAAUCUGAGACCAAAAGAGUCUGACAUAGUUUAGUAGAGACAUUUUUUGUAAACUAGGCAUCUGAUGAAUUUAUGGAGUAUAUAUAUAUUUUUUGUUUAAUGAAAACGAAUUCGACUACUCAAGCUGAUCCUCUAUGUUUAUGUUUAUUGCACUUGCUAUAAGAAGAAAUUUUUUUUCCCUAGGACAAAGGUGAAACAUAAAUUUACCGAAGUGUACAAUAACAAUUCAGUAACAAAGUCAAUUGUUUCACUGAAUGACAUAGGCUGCAUUCUAUGGUGCCUGUUAGGAUAUCCUUAUCUAAAGAAUUGAAUGACUCAGGAGGCUAUAUGACUCACUAACCACCACAUGGUGUUGUCUUAUAGAUUUUCAUCAAGAGACACAAGAGAUUUUAGAAUAAUGGCAUUUUUUUUUUAGAAUAAUGAAUAAACAAGUAUUAGCUGUUGACUUGCUGUACAUAUUUCUGUUUAAAAAAAAAUUCAAAUGGGUACCUACUCGCUCCUUCAUCAGAAUGUGGGGCAUUCAACAUGUAUAAUUUUUUCAUCUUUGAUUGAAGACGUCCUACACAAUACCAUGUGAUCCUUCACCUUACUUUGCAUAGGCCUUCAAUCAUUUAUGAACCUAGUGGUUUUCCAAACAAUAAACUUAUAAAUUCAAGUAUUGCACAUACUUCCUAAUCAUAGUCUAUCAUUGUAACUUUUCCUUAGUUAUUUAUGUUAUAUUUAUAUUCAGAUUUCAGACUCAAUGUUAAAAUACAUUUUUUUUUUGAUGAAAAAUCCAAAACCUUUUUUUCCAUCCUUUUUAUUUCAAAUGUUUACAUAUAACUUUUAAUAUGUACUUCAAUAUAUGCACGAAAUGUUUCUAGUUACCUUGAAACACAAGUAACUUACUAGUGUUUCCAAUACAGUCAGGAACAGUUGCAUUCUUAUGAUCUUAAAUUCAUGAUGUUAACUUUGGACUAACAUCUAAUAUUAUUUGAUCAAUAAAUUUGUUGUUGAUCCCAAGGAAACAUAUUUAAGCAAUAAAUUUAUUUUCGUUUUGAUUCUGGAAUGAGUUCAUAUAACAAAUUAAUGAUGCUGCUGUAUAUCACAGAAUUUGUUGAAAUAUAGAAAAAGGUAAAAAUGAUUUAACAAUAUCUUGUCAUAGCAUUCUCAUUGAGGGAACAUUUUGUUUCCAUAGGAAUGAUUGAUACAUGGAAGAAACAAAAUGAAAAAAAUAUUCAUGACAGAAAAAAAAAAUGGUUCUGUGCUAAUUAGCCUUAACUAAUCUAUCUAAGUCUGAUUAGCAUGAUUUACGGCUCAAUUCAAUCGAGAAGUGAGUUGUAAGAAAGAAUCUUCACUGCAAGGAAUUGUGAGACCACCCGUUGGAUGAUCGUAUCCAUCCAAAUUCUUCUUCUGCUUGAUUUAGUAAUUCUUGAAAUAAUGGUUGGUUCAAGUAUGAUACUGGAAUCACGAACCGUUUCAUUCUAUCUCCAACAUAGACUGCGAGAUAGCCUUUUGGGACUUCAAAUCCCUUGGUAGAUGCUUGCGUUGAGGAAAAUGAUGGCAUUCUGAUAAGUUUUGCUAUGCGGAAACCCAUUGUUUUUUUUUUUUUUUUUUUUUUUUUAUGGUUAGAGGAUUUGGAUGAGAAAGAAAUAUUUGAAUUCUGAUAAUUUAUGAUGCAAAAGACUUGUGUUACUUGAGACCCAAAGAGUAGUGUAUAAAUAGUUGCUAAGGGACUCUACAAACCAAUUAGCCAAUGAAAGUAUUUUGAUGAGCUGUGAUAGGGCCUAGUGAGGGACAAGAGAUCACAUGGUAUUGUCUUAUAGAAGUCAUUUUCAAGGAUUAGAUGAAGUUAAAUGGAAGAACAUGCAAAUACCCCACUUUGUAACACAAAGGAAAAAUUAAAGACAGUGGAUUGAUGAAAGAAACCUGAUGUUUUCUGCUAUAGCUAAUCCAAUGGUUGACAUCCAUUAGACAUCUCAUAUGUUUCUUCUAAUUGAUGUUAUAGCUAAUAUACAUCUACCAGCUAAAUACAUCUCAGAUUUGUGUGCAACUUGUUAGGCUUGUGUUGGAACAGUGUGAGGAGGAGAGAAGAGAACCGAUAUUGAACACAAGAACAUGAGCCACUAUGAACCACAUUUUAUAUUUUUGCAUGACAGACUCCACAAAAUUUGCAUACCAGAACAAAACUUUGCGAUCCCUGCCAUCCUAAUCAAAUAUGAAGGUCAAUUAAACUUUCUAUUCCAUGAAUAGGUCUGUUUUAUGGUAGGGUAGGCCUCUAAGACAAUACCAUGUGAUCUUAUAUAUGCUCUUGUCUCCUUGUAGAUUCCAUGACUCCAUCCUGAUCCUAUACUACAGUAUAUACUUCCACUAAUAAUUCAAGUAGCCAAUGGUUUCUCAAAAUUCUUUUAUCUAUAUAAAUUUUAUAGGUUAGAACCAUUUAGAACCAACUCUAAUCAUUCACAUCCUAAAAACAUUUGCAAUUUGAAAAACUUGGCUAUUGCUUUUAAUUUUUUUCUAAAACCACUUCUUCUAACUUUUUAACACAUACAACAAUGGGUAUCCGUUUCUCUGGUAUUAUCAGAAGGGCCUCAUUUUCUGCAAACCGAGCAAUAUCAAAAGCUGCGGACAUGCCAAAGAGAUAUCUUGCUGUAUAUGUUGGAUAGAAACAGACACGGCAUGUGAUCCGCAUAUCAUACUUGAACCAACCUUCAUUUCAAGAAUUGUUGAGUCAAGCCGAGGAAGAGUUUGGUUACAAUCAUCCCAUGGGUGGCCUCACCGUUCCUUGCACGGAAGAUGUUUUCCAACAUAUAACUUCUCACUUGAAUGGACUAUGAAUCAAACACCAAAAUAGACUAACGUAGUUUUAGUAGAGAUAAUUUUUUGUAAUCUAGUUAUCUUAUCAGAUUGUAAAGAUGAAAAAUGUCAUUAGAUUGACAAAUUUAUAGCAUAAAGACAUUUUUUAAUGACAAUGAAUUCGACUACUCAAACAUCUCCUUUGUGUUUUUGGUUUAUUGCACUUAAAAACUUAUGAAAUAUGACUAUAUGAGUAAUGUUGCUUGCUAUAAGAAAAUUAAGGGACUAGGUAUCCUGAAAAUUAAGGGAAUUUUUAUUUAUUUUUAAUUUAUUUUUAAUUUUUUUUAUAAACUACAUAACAUUUUCAAAGCUCUUCAUCAAUCAUUUGUGUACCAAAUGGUUUUCCAAACCACUCUUUAUCUAUAUAUAUUUAGAGAUGAUUAUGGUUGCUGUCAGAAACAAUUAACUUCCUCUAAUCAUAGCCUAAUAUUUUAAUUUUUUUCCUAGUUAUUUAUGUUAAACAUAUAAUGGGCGACAUUGUUAUUGAGUAGGGUGAUGGUUCGUAACUAAAUACUAAAUAUUCAUAAAUCUAAAACCUUUUUCCAUCGUUUAUAUUGUAGAUGUUUACAUAUAAUUUUUCAUUAUAUACGCACAAAAUGAUUCUAGUAACCUUGACACACAAGUAAUUUAUUGCAGCCUUUCCAAUAUACUGUCAAGAAAAGUUGCAUUUAUGAUCUUAAAUUCAUGAUGUUAACUUGGAGUGUCUUCUGGUAAUGUUUGAUCAAUAAAUUUGUGUUUCAACAUGAGGAGAUAUAUUUAUGCAAUAAAUUUAUUUUCUUUUUGAUUCUGGAAUGAAUUCAUAUAGCAAACUAAUGAUGCUGUAUAUAAUAGAAUUUGUUGAGAUUUAGAAUAAGCUAAAAAUGAUUUAACAAUAUCUUGUACCAACAUUCUCAUUGAGGGAACAUUUUGUUUCCGUAGGAAUGAGUGUUACAUGGCAGAAACAAAAUGAACAAAAUAUUCAAAACAGAUAAAAAAAAAAAAGCCUUCUAUGCAAAUUAGAAUGAACUAAUCUAUAUUAAUCUCUAUUAGCAUGAUAUCUACAGCUCAAUUCAUGCGAGAAGUGAGGUUUCGGAAUUCAUCCUCGCUGCACGGAAUGGUAAGACCACCCAUUGGAUGAUCAUAUCCAUAUUCUUCUUCAGAUUGAUUUAGCAAUUCUUGAAAUGAAGGUUGGUUCAAGUAUGAUACUGGAAUCACAAACCGCCUCAUUUGAUCUCCAACAUAGACUGCGAGAUAGCCUUUUGGGACUUCGAAUCCUUUACUAGAUGCUUGUGUUGACGAAAAUGAUGGCAUUCUGAUAAGCUUUGCUAUGCGGAAACCCAUUGUUUUUUUCUUUUAUUGUUAGAGGAUUUGGAUGGGAAAUAUAUAUUUGACUUAUGAUAAUUUAGGAUGCAAAAGACUUACGUUGCUUGAGAACCCAUGGAAUAGUGUAUAUAUAGAAGCUAAGGAACUCUACAAAAUCAAUUAGCCAAUGAAAGUAUUUUGGUGAGCUGUGAUAGGGCCUAGUGACGGACAAGGGAUCACAUGGUAUUGUACUAUUGUCUUAUAGAAGUCAUUUUCAAGGAUUAUAGAUGAAGUUAAAUGGAAGAACAUUCAAAUACCCCACUUUGUAACACAACUAUGGAAAAAUUAAAGACAGUGGAUUGGUGAAAGAAACCUGAUGUUUGUUAUUGAAUUUUGGUAUAGCUAAUGCAAUGGUAGACAUGGUUUAGACAUCUCACAUCUUUCUUCUAAUUGACAAGGAAACUAAUAUACAUAUACCAGCUAAAUAAAUCAUAUUUAUGUGCCACUUGUAAAGCUUGCGUAGGACCUGAUUUAUAGUUCAGAAGCAGUGUUAGGAGGAAAAACGAGAACAAAUAUUGAACACAAGAUCACAAACCACCAGGAACCACAAUUUAUAUUUUUGCCAGACAAACUCCAUGAUAUUUGCAUACCUGAACGGAACUUUGCGGUCCCUGCCUUGCUAAAUAAGUAACAAGGUUAAUUAAACUUUCUCUUGCAUUGAUAAACCUGUUUUCAUGUAGGGAGAUAUAUGUUGGUGUAUUAUCUAAGACAAUUCCAUGCGAUCUUAUCUAUGAUCUUGUCUCCUUUGUAGAUUAUUUCUCGUUCACUAGUCAUUCAAGUAGCCAACAGUUUUUCCAUAUUCUCUUAUCUAUAUAUAUUAAAGGCUACAAGCAUUUAGGACCAACACAAAUCAUUCACAUCCUAAACCAUUCCAAUUUCAAAAACUUGCUUCUUGCUUACAGGUCUUUUUUUAAAACUGAAUAUUCUCAAGUUUUAACACAUACAACAAUGGGUUUUCGUUUUGCUGGUAUCAUCAGAAAGGCAUCAUUUUCUGCAAACCGAUCAGCUUCGAAAGCUGUGGACGUGCCAAAGGGAUAUCUUGCAGUAUAUGUUGGAGAGAAACAAAAGCGGUAUGUGAUCCCAAUAUCAUACUUGAACCAACCAUCAUUUCAAGACUUAUUGAGUCAAUUUGAGGAAGAGUUUGGAUAUGAUCAUCCCAUGGGUGGCCUCACCAUUCCUUGCACCGAGGAUGUAUUUCAACAUAUGACAUCUCGCUUGAAUGGCCUAUGAAUCUGACACCAAAACAGACUGACAUAGUUUAGUAGAAAUAUUUUUUUGUAUUCUAGUUAUCUCAUCAAAUUCUAAAAGAUGAGAAGGAAAUGACCAUUAGAUUAGCAAAUUGUAAAUAUGUUUUGUUUAAUGAGAAUGAAUUCAACUACUCAAGCAGCUCUUUUACGUUUUUGGUUUAUCGCACUUAAUGAACUUAUAAACUUAUGAAAUACGACUAUAUGAGUAAUGUUGUUUACUAAAAGACAAAAAUACUUUGUAUUCUGAAACAUUUCAAAGCAGGACUAGAACACAUAUUCCUACAAGGGUAUAGCAAAAUUAAUUUUCAUAGGACAAAGGUGAAACAUAAAUUUACAAAGUUUUCUUUUUAAUAACUACAUAACAUAGACAUGAGGUAACUUCCCUUCAUAAAGAACAAGUGCACAAUAACAAUUCAGUAACAAGGUCAAUUAUUUCACUGAAUGACACAGGCCUCAUUCCAUGGUCCCUGUUAGGAUAUCCUUAUUUAAAGAGUUGAAUGGUUAGUACUUAGUAGGCUAUAUUAUAUGACAGGGUUUAGUAUGAGACAAUGGCUCACGAACCUCCACAUGGUGUUUUAGAAUAAUGGCCCACUUUGAAGAUGAGUUGCCCACAUUUUUAUUGCUCGAAUAAUUACCUUGUUCUUUCAUCCACAUACACUUGUUUUGUCGUUUGCACACAACGUCAACUUGAUAUGCCACUGACUACCAUUAUCAAGAGUAAUUUUGAUACAACGUCACCUUUAGUCAACAAUCAGCUCUGAUACCACUGUUGGAUCAUGAGGGGAGCCUAGGGUUAAUCACAUUGGCCUAGAGCAAUCACAUAAGUGGCUUCGACAUCACAUCUUGAAUCAAAACCAUUUGCCAUCAGAUAAAUGAGUCAUUUGUCCUAACAAAUAAUGCAUCGCCAAAAUGAAGGAAUGAAUAUGACAGCUAAAGGAAAUUUCUUCAAUUGUUGAUACAUUAGCUGCACAUUACUAUCAGUCAUUGGUCUGCUAGAAGCAUAAAUUCAAUGGUUGCGUGUUAUAAUGUCUUCUGCAGUCAAAAUCAAUGGCUUUCUUUAUCAUAACAGCUUGCAGGACUAGUACUUUGUGAAUAGCACGGAAAGUCCUUUUGAUUGAAUAGUCUUCAUUGUUGUAUAUAUGGUGGGAAUUGAUUAUGAGUAAUCACAUGACUUGGCAGUUGGUAAGGACCCUACACACUUGAACUUUCAGGUGAAGUUUUCAUCUCUUCAAAGUCAUGAAUACAUAUGCACGCCAAUGAUCCUAUAGUCCCAACUAUAGUAUUAUAUGAUAUAAUGAGGAAGGGAAAGAAAGACCUCACACUAACAAUUAUUAAUAAUUAAUCAUAACCGUUGAUUGAUAUUAAAAUGGAAGGUCAAAAUUUGGAGUAACUAUAGAGACUUACUCUUGAUCUUGGAGUCAAUAUAUUCCUCCUCUAAUGAAAUAUAUCUUCAAAAUGGUUACGAUUUAAAGAAUUAAAAUAAAUCAAUGAGUUAAUAUAACCAUUGUCAAUGGACUAAAACAAUUUUAUUAAAGUAUUGCACAUGAUUAAACAAUUGUAGUGGAUGCCACAUGUAAUGUUUGUUUAGAAUGUCAAGGAGACAUGUCAUGUGUAUUUAGGUAUUCUAUUGAUUGUGAAUUGUAUGGUAUACAUAUGAGAUGUCACAAUUUUUUUUUUGUUUGAGGGAAUGUCACAUUUAACUAUUGUCAUGUAUUUAACAAUUGCACCAAUUUUAGUGAUAACCUAGUCACCAAGAAAACCCCUAUUAAAAAUAUUCAUACACGAUCUUGAUUUGGUCAUUGCUUUGGUCAUUAGGGAACAAAUAGUCAAAUAGUCAAUAAUAUAAUAAUUGUAAGGCUAAAAUAUGGUUUAGUCCCUGCAAAUAUGGCUCGUUUUGGUUUUAGUCCCUGCAAAAUAUUUUGUUUUUGAAAAUAGUCCCUGACCCCACUUUUGUGAUGAUUUGCAUACGUGGCACAAUAUAACUAAACCAAUUUUGUAGUUUUUGGUCCCUGCAAAAUAUUUUGUUUUUAAAAAAGGUCCCUGCAAAUAUUUUUGUUUUUGAAAAUAGUACAGGGACUAUUUUCAAAAACAAAAAUAUUUGCAGGGAUCAAAAAUAACAAUUUUUUUAUACAGAGACUAAAACGAAAAUGAGACAUAUUUGCAGGUAUUAAAACCAUAUCUUAACCUAAUUGUAAUAUCUUAUCUGUGUCUUAGACUAUCAUUUAUAAAUUAUAAACUCAAAUCUCAAAGUUAACAUUUAUAAGGGACAAUUGUGAAUUGUGUGAAGCUUGUGCCUUGAACCAACACAAAGAAGAAAAAAAAGAUGGAAACAAAGAAAGUUCCAGAGGUGGUACUAAAUUCAGGGAAAAAGAUGCCAAUGAUAGGCUUUGGAACAGGAACAACUCCUCCUCAACAAAUUAUGCUUGAUGCUAUUGACAUUGGCUACAGACAUUUUGAUACUGCUGCUCUUUAUGGUACUGAAGAACCUCUAGGCCAAGCUGUGUCAAAGGCUUUAGAGCUAGGCCUCGUUAAAAAUCGCGAUGAACUCUUCAUUACUUCCAAGUUAUGGUGUACUGAUGCUCAACAUGACCUUGUUCUCCCAGCUCUCAAAACCACCCUCAAGCAAGCAUAAUUUUCUUAACCUUUUUUCUACUUCUUUCUAGUUUGUGCAUUUUAUUACUUGCCUAAUAUUAUUGUUUUGGUUUUUUUGGAUUGAAAUUUUUAGAAAUCUGGGAUUGGAGUAUGUUGAUCUCUAUUUGAUUCACUGGCCAGUAAGGUUGAAACAAGAUGCUGAAAGCUUAAAAUUUAAAAAGGAGGAUAUGAUUCCCUUUGAUAUAAAAGGAACAUGGGAAGCUAUGGAAGAAUGUUAUAGAUUGGGCCUAGCAAAGUCUAUUGGUGUCAGUAACUUUGGUGUCAAAAAGCUCUCCAUACUCUUAGAAAAUGCCGAAAUCGCUCCUGCAGUUAAUCAGGUAAAAGAAUUUAGCACUAGUUGAUUUGAUUCAUUUUGACAUAUAGAUCAAAUACACUUAAUUGGUUGCCUAAGUCACUUCAAAAUCGAAAAGCAUCAGACAUGUAUAAACGUAUCCGAUACUGAUACAUGUCAGACACUUCCCUAUAUGAAAAGUAUCCAAUAAUUUAUUCUCAUUCUUUCUAGAAAUAUUUCCACUGAAACUUCUCGAAUACAUUUUCAUUACUUUCGUACCGACUAAGCACACAAUUGUCAUCUAUAUAUGAUACAUCUUACUAAUCAUAGAGACACAGUGUUAUAUGUUUUUGUUACAAAUUUUUGUUUGGAUUUAGGUGGAGAUGAACCCAUCAUGGCAACAGGGGAAACUAAGAGAAUUCUGCAAGCAGAAAGGAAUCCAUGUGAGUGCAUGGUCACCACUAGGAGGAUACAAACUAAGUUGGGGUUCGCCUACAGUGAUGGAGAAUCCAAUUCUGCACGAAAUUGCAGAGGCUAGAAAGAAGAGUGUAGCCCAGGUGCAGCUCAUUAUUUUAUUUCCUAUGUUUAGCCAAUUAAAAUUUUAAUAAGGUUUUUAAAAUAUACAUCCCUUAUUUGUUUUAAAAUUCAGCUUCUUUUUUUAAAUGGUCAAACUUUAGUCUUGGUCAUAGAAGUCCUAAUAUAAUAUCACAUCAUGAACCAGCUCUUCAAAACCUUAGAUUGUUAGGUGAGAAUAAAUAAAUGGUUCUAUAUUUGAUAUCUUUUAACAGUUGAAACUUAUCAAAGUCAUAUACAUAUACUACUACUACUACUAUAUUGAGAUGACUGUUACACUGAAAGAAAGUCUAUUUCUAAUAUUGACAUAUAUUAUGCAGAUAGCACUAAGAUGGAUAUACCAGCAAGGGGCAAUUCCCAUUGUGAAAAGCUUCAACAAGGAAAGGAUGAAACAAAACAUUGAAAUAUUUGAUUGGGAAUUGAACCAAGAAGAAUUAGACAAAAUCAGUCAGAUUCAUCAAAGCAGAUUUCAAAAGGCAGAAAUAUUUGUAUCUGAUAAUGGACCUUACAAAACCUUGGAAGAGCUGUGGGAUGGUGAUGUUUGAGCAAACUCUUGUUUGAAUAAAUGAUGGGAUCAUGGAAAGUGUAUGAGCUGCUGAAUAGUUAUAAGUAGUAAAAUAAUGCAAAAAGGGUUUUGCUCAAGAGAUUAAAGACAUCACAAAUAAGAUUUAAAUUGUACUCAAAUCCAAGUUCCUUAUGUAAGUGACCUUAAAUAAGAGAAAACACUAAGAAGGGUAAUCUAAAAACAUGGAUCUAAUGACUAUUCCUGGACUAGAGAAUCACAUGGCAUGCUAUCUCAAAUAACUGAUACAUUAUACUUCCUUUCAAUGUAUAAAUCAUGCUAAGGGUUAUCAAUCCCUACAAAGCAUGAAGUAUGAAAUCAUUACUUACAAUUUAAUCUUUAAAUUAAUCACGCGUAGAAGUUUAUUCUGUGUAUAAAUUCUUAUUGAUUAAUUCUACUUUAUCUCUCUUUAGCUCUUGUGAAGUACAGUAAUUUGAUCUAAAUUCUGUAAACUCGAAAAUUAACUCGUGCAUAUACUGAAAUUUAAAGACUAAACUUAAACCAGAAGUCAGUAGAUAUUGCCUUUCUUUGGCAGAAAACAACGUGGAUCCUACUCCACUAGUUCAACGGUCAAUUUCCUUCCAACAAAAUCAAAGCAACAGAGUUCUUUUAAUAAAUAUAUACUGAGUCCUAAGAUUGCGAUUGCGUAAAGGUUACUUAACAAUCCAACAAAUCUAUUACUGAUCCAAAACCAGUAGAGACUCCCAGAUGGUUUUGAAAUAAAACAUAUUUUCGUCGUUCAUAGUAAAGUAAAAUUUGUUUUUUUCGUGAAUUAUGGAAUAGGAAAAAAACUAAGCAUAUGCAAGUCAAAUAAGUCUCUUCGUAUUAUAUUUCUGCGUAUAAGUUUAAUUUGCAAUACAAAUUAACUGAAAAGUUUCCUAAGCAAGUCAUAAUCUCUCUGUUUAUAAUAACCUGACUCGGUUGUUUUUCUAUUUUUUUUCUUCAUUUAAAUAAGGUAGACUAAGUAAGUGCCUGCUGUACAAUUUUUCCUCAAAUAAUCUAUUUCAGUUCCUUCUUCUGAAGAUGUUAGCACAGAUUCAAACGAGAAGUAAUAUUUAAGAAAACGUCUUCUCUGCAAGGAAUUGUGAGACCACCGGUUGGAUGGUCAUAUCCAAAUUGUUCCUCGGCUUGAUUCAACAAUUCUUGAAAUGACGGUUGGUUCAAGUAUGAUAUUGGGAUCACAAACCUCUUCAUUUCAUCCCCAACAUAUACUGCAAUAUAUCCCUUUGGCACAUUCGUGCAUUUUGAAGAUGCUUGGUUUGAAGCCCUUUUUGAGACAACAGGUAAUCGGAAACCCAUUCUUGUAUAUAUGUGUUUUUAAAAGAAGAUAUUGAGCUAAGAGUGAAAGACUUGUGUAUAAGAAGAUUGUUUCUGAAUAUCAAAUAUUUUGGGUUGUGAAUGAUAUUGUGUUGGUUAUAAAAGCUUGCAGCCAUGAAUAUAUAUAUAUAUAGAUGAGUGAAAGGAUAUGGACCAAGCAGUCGGCAACUUGAAUGAUCAGUGAAGGAGGACCAUGAGAUUUGAGUCAUUGGGAGCCAUAGAACCUAAGGUAGACAAGGACAUAUAAUAGUUCACAUGGUGUUACCUUUGAAGAUUAUCUAAAGGGUCAACAUCAAAUGUCAAAAUAGUAGAUCAUGCAUGUCCCACCUCCUUAAGUAGAGGACAUCGUAUAUAUAAUUUUUGUUGUUGUUCAUAAAAAACAAUAUAUAUAUAAUUAAUCCACUUGAAAUAAAACGCAUGAUCACAAACAUGUAGUAUGGUGUAUGUAUGAUCUCUAGAUGUUGAGAAGAUAAAUGACCUACCAGCUGGACAUCAACAUUAUCAAGAUGAAGAAACAUGUAUAAUGCAUGUUUACAAAAUUAUGAAAACCAAUAAUUUGGAUGUAUUUAGAAAACCAAUUUCAAUACUUUUCUGUAACAUCGAAAAUUCCAGAGUUCGAUCCAUUUAUCUGUUUAAUGCUUUUUUUGACUAAACCAAACCAAUUUCAAUAGUUUAUAUAUAAUAAUAAGUCGAGCCUGUCAAGGUGAAAAAGUAAAAAUUUAAUUUUGAUGGUCGUUUGAUUCUUUUGAAGUCUGUCAUAUACAUCCUCUAUUAUUUUAUAAUGUUUUUUUUUUGGUGGGUCGAGGAUUUUAGAAAAAUUCUUUGGGUCAGUUGGGACUCUAUUUGUUUGGGCAAGGAGGUCAGUGGUUUGGGGGUUAGGAGAAGGCGGGAGUUUAACCUUGUUUUAUUAGGCAAAUGGUGUUAGAGGAUGUGUGUGGAAAGAGGGAGUUUGUGGUAUAAAAUUUUAGUGGUUAGGUAUACUGUGAGGUAGGGGGCGGUUGAAGGAAGGCAUGAGGGAAGUGACAGUGUGGGAGAUUUUCUUAAAUAACCCACACCCAUUUUAAUUUUCCAAACACAUAAAUCUCCCAUCAUUUUAUUCAUUUCAAUGACUUUAUAAAUAUACAAUUUAAUUUCAGUCAUUUUGGUUUGUUUGCAUCUGUUUUCUCUUUUUACAAUUAAGUUAAAUGAAGUUUUUUUCUCUCGCAAUAAACAAACAGUAACAACAUUUGGUUUUAACUACUAAAUAGAAUCAAACAUCGGCAAUUACAGAAGAGAUUAAAAGAGAAUAUAGAAAUGAGAAUUUUUUUUGUUGAUGGACAUUGUGGUUAAUCAAUGAAAAAGAAAUAAUAUUCGAUAUAUCCGUUUUAUUACUUUAGAGUUUAAAAAUUAAACCACCUUGACUAAGGAACAAUAAGUUGGGAAAAUUCACCAAAGUGAAAAAUAGAAAGAAAAAAAGGUCAAAAACUAAGUGAGUUCAUACUCGUAUGAAGAAGUUAAUUGCUCAAAAAAAAUGGAAUUAAUAAAGUUUAAACUGUGUUAUAUUAUAUGGGAGGUGCUUGUCAAUUUGAUAAAAAAAAAAAAGAGAGAUUAGUGUUUAGUUAAAAAAUAGAACGGGUGUUUGUGUUAUUUAAGAAAACCUUACGGGAGGUUAGUGUAAUUUGCCCAUAAUUUUUUUAAGAGUAAUUUGCCCAUGAUAAAAUCAUUGAAAUAAUUGUUAUUAAAUAAUAAAGAUUUCUUUAUUGAUAAAGAUGUCGUUAGAAGCCUCGUAUAUGAAUUGUACAAACUAUAUUAUUUAGUGAUUCAUUUAUCAUUUUUUUUAGUGUUUUUUAUAGUCAAGAUAUAAUAAUUAAUAAUCUACAACAAUAAAAAAUAUUAUUUUAUAAUAUGACAUGGUGGCCUGAGGAUUCAAGGUGCUUGUUUGCCUACACCUGUUUCUUCAACUCGAAAGAGCUUUUAUGCUUGCGGAUUUGUUCAGGGAGUUUUUGGCACUUGGAUUUUGAUAUCGUGUUGACAGUUGAUCCAUUUAUUGUUCUUCACAGAUGUUCAUUUUUAAUUUUUUUUUCAAAUAUGGCUUCGCGCCUGUAUACGGAUUCACCGGUUUGCGUCUGUGAUUAGUGAACUUUUUUAAAAUAGAUUAGGAUCGAUACAUUUGAUCUGAUUUAUUAUGUUGUAUCACCGUUUUGGGUUGCACCUGAUUCAGGACUAAUACCCCUAGCAUCUUUAUCUAUUUAUUUUUUUAUUUAAUAUAAUUUUCCUUUUGAAAAAAAAAUAAAAUAAAGAAAAAACAAAGGAAAAUUAUUUUUAAAAAAGAAGCAAUCUUGAAAACGUGUAAUUUUUUUGAAAAGUAGGCAUAUGCCUUCUAAUGAAUAUUUUGUAACUUUCUUGAAGUUAUGUUUCAUUUUUUUUUUUUUUUUUUUUUUUUUUUUUAAGAAUGAAGUUAUGUUAUUUUGUGAUUACCAAUCAUAUAUAAUUGAACAUUUUUUUCUUCUUUAUUUUGUUAGUGAAAAUAUUUUUUCAGUGUCUUGUUAGUAUCAACGAUAAUUGUCUCAACCGUAUUUUUUUAUUUUACUGAUAAGUGAAACAUAUUUAUUAAAAUUUAUAUUUAUAAAUAUUUUUUUAGAUUAAAUAUGUAAAUAAUUGUCAUUUUUUUAUUGAAUUACCUACAAAAGAAAAACUCAUACGAAAGUAGUUCUUUUUUUUGGUCAAGUAGUCUAGUGACUAGCUAGAGCUCACACAAUUAAAUUGUGGAGAAGUAGAAUGUUCGGGGUUCGAACCCUGACCUCUGCAUAUAAUAUUCAAUAUCCCUACAAAUUGCAAAGAGAAAAUAUAAUAGGAAGAUUGUUAUAUUGCAUUUCAGUAUCGUAAAAGAGAAAAUAUAAUAUGAAGAUUGUUAUAUUGCAUUUCAGUGUGAGAUAAAAGCAUAUGAACAUCAUAAAACUUUUUUUUUGGUACAAUCUUAAAACUUAUUUUUAACAAAUGUAAAUUGAAUAUAUGGUCCCCUUUUAAUAAGUAUCAUAAAACUUAUAUUGAUAUUCAAUCAUUUAGAGGUUAUUUUUAGAGCUUUUUUAAAAAACAUGAUCAAUUAUCACUACAAGAAAAAAAACAAGAUUUGCUACCCAAAACUUGCUAUAAAAUGUUUUUUUUUUUUUUGGUACUGAGCUAUAAAAUGUACUUUUUUUUUUGGUAGUGAGCUAUAAAAUGAAUUGGUAGUUAAUUUAGGAGAAAACUUAGGUACAAUUUCUUAUGUGCUUUUUGUAUAGUUCUUAACUAAAAAUACAUUUUUUUUGGAUAUAACAAACUUUGAGAAAAUUAUGAAUUUGAGGAAAUUAUGGUAAAUUUAGUUAAGAACCAUACGAAAAGCACCUAAGGAAUUGUACUUAAGUUUUCUCCAUAUUAAAUCUCUUAGCUACCAUUUGACCUUGACCAUUUAAUUUUUAUUAUUUUUUAUAAAUAUAUAUAUAUAUAUAUAUAUAUCAAUAACAAUCACUUCUUUGAAAAAGAUAUUUGUCUGAAUACAACUAUAUAAAACAUAUUUCUUUUACAAAUUUAUCUUCAUUUUUUUAUACUUAUUUUCUCCCUCUCUUAUAUUUUUUGAAAAGUUACUAUAACCUCUUUUCAUUUAAAGACUCUUUUAGACUUUUUUAACCUGGUUUUAAAAAAAAUUAUAAUAAACAAGCACAAUGCUCUUUAAUUUUUUUUUUUAAGUUAUAGCAAACCCUUUGGGGCUUGUUUGUUACGAAUUAAAAUGAAAAUAUUAUUGAAAUUCAUAAUUUAGUGAUUUUUAAAAUUUUUAUAAAAAAAAUCAUAAUCUAUUUUGUGUUUGCUUAUUGUAAUAAAAUCAUUUUUUUAAAUAAUUUAAUUUAUUUAGAUAUAUCAAUAUAAAAGGAACUUUUUUGUUACAAAAUCACAUCAAUCUUUUAAAAGUUAUUUUCUCUCUCGACUAAAUAGGAUAUUUUGUUACAAAAGACACAGAAAGGUUAACAUAUGUCGAGAUAUCAAAAAAUUAAGAUGGGGCAAAAGUGUGUUUUUACUGAUUAUUAACUUUGAUAAUUAGAGAAAGAUAAUAGAUUAGUGUGUUUUAAGUUGAAUUAUAGGAAAACUUGUUUUAAUUGGGAUAAGAUUAAGUUUGUUUGUUGUUAAAAAAAAGAUUAGGUUUGUUUGUUCUUUAAAAUAAGAUUAAGUUAGUGUGUUUGAUUGAGUGAGUUUGUUUUAGUUUGUUUUUAAGAGAGAAAAUAGAAGGUGGUUGAAGUGAAAGACAUAAAAGAAUAUAAUUUUGAAGACAUGUCAAAAAAUUAAGAAGAGAUAAAAUUGUAUUUUUUAUGAUCAUUAAAUUUCAUAAGUCGAGAAUAGAUGACACCUACAUGAAGCAACAGCCUAGAAAAAUCCUAACUAUCAACUUCCUUUAACCGUUAUUCGUUAUCAAAGCUUACUUCCCUCCUAAGUAAACGCUAGCGCCUACUAAAUUAAAUCUCAAUCUAGUUAUCCACUUAUUAUAAUCCCCUUUUUUUCAGUAAUCGUAACCACUAUAUAAAGACUCACUCAGCACCCAACUUAACAUAUCAUAACAUACCAUACUACCAUCAAGUUCAAGUCAGAAGAAGAAGUCAUGAAUCAUCGUAACCAAACUUUCAUGCUGUUCUCUGUCCUUUUCCUGUUCUUCUCUGUCGACUUGGCAUUCUCGAUGCCGAAGGAUAGAGAAGAUCCAAUAAUCCAGCAGGUGGUCGAUAAGGGAGGAGCUGAGUAUCAAUUUAAUGAAUUCAAGCAAAGGUUUGGUAAGGUUUAUUCCUCCAAAGAUGAACAUGAUUAUAGGUUCAACGUCUUCAAGUCUAACCUUCACCGUGCUAAGAGACAUGGGAUAAUGGAUCCUUCAGCAACUCAUGGUGUUACAAGAUUCUCCGAUCUUACUCCGAGGGAGUUUCGUAAUAGCAUCUUGGGAUUAAAAGGAGUAGGGUUACCGAGACAUGCAAAAGCUGCACCUAUUCUUUCGACCGAGAACCUUCCUCGUGAUUUUGAUUGGAGAGAAAAAGGAGCGGUUACCCCGGUUAGGAAUCAGGUAUAUAUUGUUUCUAAUUAUGAUUAUUAUUGUUGCUGUAAUUUGUUUAUUGUUUUGUUUAAUAUUUUUAUUUUGGAUUUGUAACUAUGAAUUAGGGUUUCUGCGGUUCAAGUUGGAGUUUCAGUACGAUUGGUGCACUCGAAGGUGCUCACUUCCUCUCUAGCGGAGAACUUGUGAGUCUUAGCGAGCAACAUCAUGUUGACUGUGAUCACGAGUACAUUCAAAAAUAUGGUGGGCUGAUGCGAGUGGAGGACUAUACUUAUUAUAAGACAAACACUGCACGAUCGGUGGCGGCAAAUUUCAGUUCUAUUUCGGUUGAUGACAACCAAAUCACCGCCAAUCUCGUUAAACAUGGACCUCUUGCUGGUCAGUAAUACUCUAAACAAUUUGAAUUGUAAUUAUUAUUACUAUUAUUUUCUUAUAAUUGUCUAAUUCAAAUGUUCACAAAUGCAGCUGCAAUAAACGCGGUAUACAUGCAGACAUACGUGGGAGGAAUAUCAUGCCCAUACAUAUGUACAAGGAGGCUGGAUCUUGGAGUUUUGCUUGUGGGGUAUGGUUCUGGAGCUGGAGCUGAUAUGAAGGAGAAGGAGAAGCCGUAUUGGAUCGUUAAAAACUCGUGGGGUGAGACCUGGGGAGAGAACGGAUACUACAAGAUUUGCAGAGGACGAAAUAUCUGUGGAGUGGACUCAAUGGUUUCUACUGUGGCUGCUGCUCACACUACUACUCAGUGACAGUAGUAUGAUUUCUAUCUCAUACAUGUACCAACCUUCAUUUCAUUUCAAGACUUGUUGAAUAUGAUCAUCCAAUGGUUGGCCUUCCUAUUCCUUGCACCGAAGAUGUCUUCCAGCACAUAAUGUCUCGCUUGUAAAGCUCACACUAUUGUUGGAGACUGGCAUAGUUUACUGUUAGUAGAUCCAUUUUGAACAUGAGACAUCUUAUCAAAUUGUAAAGACCCUACAGAGAUAGGAAAUGUAAUUAUCAUAAAAAUGAUAGAUUUUGACUAUGCAUUUUUCGUUUGAUGAAUAAUGACAAUGAAUUCGACUUUUCAAGUAGCUCCUAUGUUUUUUGUUUGUUUUAUGUUAAAAUUUUCACUCUUCCUUGCAGUCAGACCUUCCAAAAUAUAAGCAGGACUGCUUGGUAUCAGAAAAAACCGACUUGGUGUUCUGAUAAAUUUCAAAGCACGAACAGUACACAUGAAAGGGCAGAACCGUUGUAUUUUUGUAUGGCUCAAACAUGAAAGUUAAAUUUCAGGAAAAAAAUUAUUUUAAUAACUAUAUAAUAUAGAUAAGAAAUUUAAGAUUUGGAGUGCCAAAGUCCCAAUCAUAGUUCCCUUCAUAGGCAAGUGCACAAUAACAAUGACUUAGAAUUGAGGUUAGUUAAUCCCUUGAAUAACACAUUCUCAGUCUACAGCAAAAACUUGUUUUGCUACCUUUGAUGCAUGGUUUAUCUGUAGUCCAUGACUGUAUCUUUUCUACUCUCUAAGUUUUGUUUACUGAAAUUUUAGAUAUACCUCUAAAUUUCCAAAAUUUAUUGAUCAGUUUGUACUUAUCAGAUUUUGAUGCUAGUUGUGGUUAAGUUUAAUUGAAGUUUCUCUACAAUUUCAAAUUUUAUCAUUCUAUUUUUUAAUUAAUUCCAGUGGCUAAAAUAGAAAAUAAAUAAAAAAAUUCUAAUCUAACAAGUACUUCAAGAAACCAAAUUCACUUUACAAUGGACUUGUUUGAUACCAAAUUCAGGUUGUUUAUUUGGCACAACUAUGGGACCAACAUGUCUACCAAUUUCCAAUUUCCAAAUUCAGUUUGUGUUAUUAUCUUAUCUCAAAUUCAUUAUUUUGUAGCUAUAUGGUAGAUUUCAUGGGUCAUAUAUUUUGUAACUCUAGGAUCAACAUGUCUAUCAAAUUUGAGGAACCUAUCUGAUAGAAUAUUGUCAGAAAAUUUUGGCAUUCUCUUAUCUCGAAUUCUCUAUUUACUAGUUAUCAUGUAGACAUAGAAUAUUUUCAGAAAUUGUGGACUUCCCUUAUCUCAAAAUCCAUUGUUUAGUAGCUAUAUGGUCGAUUUCAUGGUUCAUAUAUCAGAGCCUAAUUUGAGGAAUCUAUGUGAUAUGUCUUGAACUUGUCAUGUUGCAAGAAUACAAUUAUUGGCUUAUUGGCUGUAAAGUCUCCUAUAUCUUUCUAUAUAUACUCAUCAUUACAUUCUCAAGCAGCAUUACAAGUCACAAAUACAAUUUCAAAAGUUUCUUGCUUUCAUACACAAGCUGUUGUAUUCAUCGUUAUUGUGUUGCAACUCUUAAUAACAAUAUGGGAUUCCGUUUACCUGGUAUUAAAAUGUCAUCGUCUUCCAAGGCUGUGGAUGAAGUUUCAAACUGAAGCUGUUUGUGAUUUCCAUUUUAUUAUUGAACCAACCUUCAUUUCAAGAAUAAUAAUUAAGCCAAUUAGCAGAAGAAUUCUAAGAGCUCACAUCUCGCUUCAAUGUUAAAUCUCACAAACUCUAACGAAGACUUACAUAGAUAUUAGUUAGCUAAGACUAAUUGUACAUCAGAUAUCUUCAUUUUUCAUUCUUUUCUUAAUGGAAAUGACAGCUAACUGAGAUAGUUAUGAACAGAGAUUUUUGACUUGUCGGUCAAAUUUCAAAGAACUCUGUAUACAUCUUAUUUUUGCACAAAAGAUUAUAUAUAGAAACAGAACCCUUUUUACAAAUUCUCUCUUGGUUUUCUUUGUUUUAUUACUGCUUAUUAUAUCUGCUUUUCUGUGUGUAUAUAAACACCAAUUUUCAUUGGUCUUUGAAACUAGCUCAAAAGUUUAUUAUAAAGUUCGAGCCAACACAAAUGUAUCCUAUGUGGUGAAGUUUUCACCCAAAACCCCUAGUUUCAGACCCAAAAGCCCUAGCUAUCCAUUUCACCUGAAAUCCCUUCGUCUAUUAACCAUUCCUUGAAAGAAAGGCACCUGUUUGUUUGCGGUUUGAAAAAGGUAUGAAUGAGAUGCACGCUUGUAAUUUGUACCAUCUAUUGUCUGUGCUAGUCAGAGGAUGAUAUAAAGGCUCGGCGAGACUGAAAAGAGGAAGAUCUAUCAAUUAUGUCAAGGGACAACUCUUCAGUCUAGUUGAUUAUAAGAAUAAAUUACUCUUAUACAUUGAGUAGUUGAUAAAAAUGUUUUUUUGUCUUGUUCAUCCAUUAGAAUAUUUCUGCCAAUAACAACAAACAAUGUUGCUUGCUAUAUUAAUUCAUGACUCAAUCAAACCCCUUCUAUAAACAAAACAAACAUUCACUAUCUUGCUUUGUCAUAGAGGACACACACUCAAUAAUCAAUAUUAAAAUAAUAAUAAUACUAACAACAUCUUCUUUGCGUUUUGAACUAUUAUUUAUAGUCACAUUGUGAAUUGUACGAAGCUUAAGCCUUGAACCAACACAAAAAAGAAGAUGGAAAUAAACAAAGUUCCAGAGGUGAUACUAAAUUCAGGGAAAAAUAUGCCAAUGAUAGGUUUAGGGACAUCAACAAGUCCCUCUCCACCACAUGAAGUCCUCACCUCAAUUUUGGUUGAUGCCAUUAAAAUAGGCUACAGGCAUUUUGAUACUGCUUCUAUCUAUAAUACUGAAGAACCUCUAGGCCAAGCUGUGUCAAAAGCUUUAGAGCUAGGCCUCGUUAAAAAUCGCGAUGAACUGUUCGUUACUUCCAAGUUAUGGUGUACUGAUGCUCACCAUGACCUUGUUCUCCCAGCUCUCAAAUCCACUCUCAAGCAAGCAUAAUUCUCUUAACCUUUUUUUCUUCUUCUUUUAAGUUUGUGUAUUUUAUUUGUCUAAUAUUGUUGUUUUGGUUUUUUGGAUUGAAAUUUUUUAGAAAUCUGGGAUUGGGGUAUGUGGAUCUCUAUUUGAUUCACUGGCCAGUAAGGUUGAAACAAGACGUUGAAGGCCAUAACUUUAAAGGUGAGGAUACAAUUCCUUUUGACAUAAAAGGAACAUGGGAAUCUAUGGAAGAUUGUUAUAGAUUGGGCAUAGCAAAGUCUAUUGGUGUCAGCAACUUUGGUAUCAAAAAGCUCUCCAUGCUCUUAGAAAAUGCCGAAAUUGCUCCUGCAGUUAACCAGGUAUAUGAAUUUAGUACUACUUGAUUUGAUUCAUUAUGCCUCAGUUGCUUCAAAAUGGAAGAGCAUCAUACACGUAUCGUCAGAUAUUUCCCAAAACUUAUAGUAUCCAAUAAUUUAUUGUAAUUCUUUCGCAAAAUAUUUCCUUCGAUACUUUUUUACCAACUAAGCACGCAAUUGUCAUCUAGAUAUGAUAUAUCUUACUACUUAUAGACACAACGAGCAUCAUACAAAUUCAUAUUUGGAUUUAGGUGGAAAUGAACUCAUCAUGGCAUCAGGGGAAACUUAGAGAAUUCUGCAAGCAGAAAGGAAUCCAUGUGAGUGCAUGGUCACCACUAGGAGGCUACAAACUAAGUUGGGGUUCGCCUGCAGUGAUGGAGAAUUUGAUUCUGCGCAAAAUUGCUGAGGCUAGAAAGAAGAGUGUAGCCCAGGUGCAGUUGAUUAUUUUAUUUCAAAUUAUUUUUAAUGAUAACUAUGACCUAUGUUAAUUCAAUUUAGAUUUUAAUGAAGUUUUAAAAUAUGCAGCCCUGUUUUAUAAUUCAAGUUUUUUUUUUCAAUGGUCAAACUUUAGACUUAGUCAUAGAAGUGCUAAUGCCACAUCAUGAACCUUAGAUUGUUAUGUGAAACAAAUAAAUAGUUUUAUAUUGAAACUUCAUAAAGUCAUACAUAUACCACUGUAUUGAGAUUACUGUUACAUUGAUAGUCUUUCUCUAAUAUUGACAAAUAUUAUACAGAUAGCACUAAGAUGGAUAUACCAGCAAGGGGUAAUUCCCAUUGUGAAGAGCUUCAACAAGGAGAGGAUGAAACAAAACAUUGAAAUAUUUGAUUGGGAAUUGAACCAAGAAGAAUUAGACAAAAUUAAUCAGAUUCCUCAAUGCAGACUGCUAAAGGCAGAAAUGUUUGUAUCUGAUAAUGGACCUUACAAGUCAUUGGAAGAGCUGUGGGAUGGCGACCCUUAAGCGAAUUCUUGUUUAAAUAUUCGAUGGGAUCAAUGCAAGUGUAUGUACUGAAUAAAUUAUUGUUUAAAUUCCUUAUGCAAGUGAAAUUUUAACUUUGAUUAAUAUCGUUAAUUCCUUAGUAUCGUUAAUUCCUUAGCUGACAUUAAAUAAGAGAAAACACUAAGAAGGAUUUAGUUACUAUUCAUGAACUAGAGAAUCAAUGGUAUGCUAGUUUAUUCUUUUCAUGUGUAUCUUUAGCUGAUUAAGCUUUUACGUCGAUUGGAUAAAUGACUUAAGAAUUUUUUAUGGAGUGGUGAUAUUUCCAGAAGGAAAAUUCUGUCCUGUUUCUUUUGCAGACCCUCGGCUUACCAUGGGAGGUGGGUGGCCUUGACCUGCGUUCUUCCACUACGUGAAAUAAGGGAUUUAGCCUCAGUCAUUUGGGAUCAGUCGCACCUGACUAACGUCAAGCAACAAAUUAUGCGCUAUUUCCCAUCACUCAAAUGUAGAAUAGCGCCUACAACAAAUACGUGGUAUGUAUUAGCCAAAAAAUUGGUUCGAGCCAACACAAAUGUAUCCUAUGUGGUGAAGUUUUCACCCAAAACCCCUAGUUUCAGACCCAAAAGCCCUAGCUAUCCAUUUCACCUGAAAUCCCUUCGUUUAUUAACCGUUCCUUCAAAGAAAGGUACCCCUAGUUCAACACAAAUGUAUGAAUGAGAUGCAUGCUUGUAAUCUGUGCCAUCUAUUGCCUGUGCUAGCUAGAGGAUGAGAUAAAGGCUCGCUGAGACUGAUAAGAGGAAGAUCUCAUCAUAAGUGUAGUUGUUCACAGAUAACAGUUAUGUCAAGGGACAACUUUUCAGUCUAAUUGGUUAUAAGAAUAAAUUAGUCUUAUACAUUGAGUAGUUGAUAAAAGUUUUUUUUGUCUUGUUCAACCAUUAGAACAUUUCUGCCAAUAGCCAACAAAAAAUGUUGCUUGCUAUAUUAGUUCAUCACUCAAUCAAACCCCUUGUAUAAACAAAACAAACAUUCACUAACUUGAUUUUUCAUAGGGGACAAAUACUCAAUAAUCAAUCUUAAAAUAAUAAUAAUAACAACAACAACACCAACAACGUCUUCUUUGCGUCUUGAACUUGUAAUAUAAUGGAAUUGCUUGCCUUUUCAUUAUGUGAAUAGAAUAUCUGUAUACAUGUGCAGGUCAACUAUCUAAUUAUGAUACAGCAUAAUUACAGGAAAAUAAUUAUAACUAAUUAUGACUAAUAUUCUAUUCUAUCAGAACUAUCAUCAAUAAAUUGUAUGAAGCUUAAGCCUUGAAAUCAACAAAAAUAAAAAAAGAUGGAAGCAAAGAAAGUUCCAGAGGUGAUACUAAAUUCAGGGAAAAAGAUGCCAAUGAUAGGUUUUGGAACAUCAGAAAAUCCCUCUCCACCACAUGAAGUCCUCACCUCAAUUUUGGUUGAUGCCAUUGAAAUAGGCUACAGGCAUUUUGAUACUGCUUCUGUCUAUAAUACUGAAGAACCUCUAGGCCAAGCUGUGUCAAAAGCUUUAGAGCUAGGCCUCGUUAAAAAUCGCGAUGAACUGUUCGUUACUUCCAAGUUAUGGUGUACUGAUGCUCACCAUGACCUUGUUCUCCCAUCUCUCAAAACUACCAUCAAGCAAGCAUAUUUCUCUUAACUUCUUUUUUUCCGCUUCUUUUACGUUUGUUAUUUUUAUUACUUGUCUACUUUUAUUUUUGGGUUGAAAUUGUACAGAAAACUGAAGUUGGACUAUGU